UACAGAGGUCCCAAGCGUUGUUCGGAAUUACUGGGCGUAAAGCGCACGUAGGCGGGCGAUUAAGUCAGGUGUGAAAUCCCGGAGCUCAACUCCGGAACUGCCUUUGAUACUGGUCGUCUAGAGAUCGGAAGAGGUGAGUGGAAUUCCCAGUGUAGAGGUGAAAUUCGUAGAUAUUGGGAAGAACACCAGUGGCGAAGGCGGCUCACUGGUCCGAUACUGACGCUGAGGUGCGAAAGCGUGGGGAGCAAACAGG
RNAcentral lists this ribosomal RNA (253 nucleotides) under uncultured bacterium. RNAcentral describes it as "partial 16S ribosomal RNA". It matches the Rfam family "Bacterial small subunit ribosomal RNA", at positions 524 to 776 of the family's 1533-position model. The record is from RNAcentral.